Molecule: ribosomal RNA, 253 nt
Filed under: uncultured bacterium
Lineage: Bacteria
Description: partial 16S ribosomal RNA
Rfam family: Bacterial small subunit ribosomal RNA
Source: RNAcentral
GACAGAGGGUGCAAACGUUGUUCGGAUUUACUGGGCGUAAAGCGCGUGUAGGCGGCUUUGCAAGUUAGAGGUGAAAGCCCGGGGCUCAACUCCGGAAUUGCCUUUAAAACUGCAUCGCUAGAAUUGUGGAGAGGUAAGUGGAAUUCCGAGUGUAGAGGUGAAAUUCGUAGAUAUUCGGAAGAACACCAGUGGCGAAGGCGACUUACUGGACACAUAUUGACGCUGAGGUGCGAAAGCGUGGGGAGCAAACAGG